RNAcentral lists this ribosomal RNA (885 nucleotides) under uncultured eukaryote. RNAcentral's name for it is "SSU rRNA". It matches the Rfam family "Eukaryotic small subunit ribosomal RNA", at positions 564 to 1469 of the family's 1831-position model. The record is from RNAcentral.
GUGCCAGCAGCCGCGGUAAUUCCAGCUCCAAUAGCGUAUAUUAAAGUUGUUGCAGUUAAAAAGCUCGUAGUCGGAUUUUGGCAUCACGCCGAACUGUCAGCCGAUUGGUUUGUACGGUUUGGCGGGUGCUCUCCUUCCGGAAGCUCGUUCCCUUCUUAGUUGACGGGUUCGAUGGUUCCGGGUCUUUUACUUUGAAAAAAUUAGAGUGUUCAAAGCAGGCCUAUGCUCUGAAUAGGUUAGCAUGGAAUAAUAGAAUAGGACUUUGGUUCUAUUUUGUUGGUUUCUAGGACCGAAGUAAUGAUUAAUAGGGACAGUUGGGGGCAUUCAUAUUCCAAUGUCAGAGGUGAAAUUCUUGGAUUAUCGGAAGAUGAACUUCUGCGAAAGCAUCUGCCAAGGAUGUUUUCAUUGAUCAAGAACGAAAGUUAGGGGAUCGAAGACGAUCAGAUACCGUCGUAGUCUUAACCAUAAACUAUGCCGACUAGGGAUCUGGAGGCGUUAUUUUAUACGACCCUUCAGGCACCUUAUGAGAAAUCAAAGUCUAUGGGUUCCGGGGGGAGUAUGGUCGCAAGGCUGAAACUUAAAGGAAUUGACGGAAGGGCACCACCAGGAGUGGAGCCUGCGGCUUAAUUUGACUCAACACGGGAAAACUUACCAGGUCCAGACAUAGUUAGGAUUGACAGAUUGAGAGCUCUUUCUUGAUUCUAUGGGUGGUGGUGCAUGGGCCGUUCUUAGUUGGUGGAGUGAUUUGUCUGGUUAAUUCCGAUAACGAACGAGACCUUAACCUGCUAAAUAGUGUCGCUAUGAUCUCUUCAUGGUGUGCAUCUUCUUAGAGGGACUAUCGGUGUCUAACCGAUGGAAGUUUGAGGCAAUAACAGGUCUGUGAUG